GACUCGACCUCAUCUGAAACACACAAGAAAGCCAUCGUGUUCUCCGUCGUCAUGUGUUGGUCUGAGAUGCUGCUAAGUAUCCUGGCUGUCGGCAUGUGGCAACGGACCUUGCUUCCACGAAAGCCUUACGCUUCUUUACAUGCAACCUGCAGUGAGUAUCCGAGAUCGACGAAGCCCCCUUUUCAUCGUCUCUUCCUUCCUGUGCUUUCUCUCUGAUGAGCUCUCAACCCGGCUCUUUCCUCGCUAUGCCCUGGUAGGAACUGAGGGAAUCACGUUUCAGCUCGCCGGAAAAUUUUCGAUCCCAGUUCCACAUAGUUCUGAUCAGCUUCCUUUAGUAUGAGUCUGUUUCCAGUAUGGGGAUUUCUGUUUCACCUUCAAAGAUCCAUUCUUCAAACCGAUUUGAUACAUAUAAGGAGGUUCUAUUGAAUUUCAGUGCAAACCCAUUUGAUCAACUAGGGGAAUUCCAAUGCAUGUAUCUUUUGGCUUCAACCGUGCAAGAUUCGAGUCCUUGCUCAGUUUAUAUAUUCCAUGUAGUCAUUGGACAAACUACAAAGAAUGCACCACAAAUGAGGAUUCUACAGUUUUGACUCAUGCAAAGCAGUAAAUGGACUACCAACUGCUAAUGCCUAAAGG
Fragaria vesca subsp. vesca is the source of this 633-nucleotide RNA transcript. RefSeq lists it as uncharacterized. The transcript is spliced from 3 exons. The record is from RefSeq and is a predicted model, not a curated record. NCBI's taxonomy places the organism in Eukaryota, Viridiplantae, Streptophyta, Magnoliopsida, Rosales, Rosaceae.